This 730-nucleotide ribosomal RNA is filed under the name Psychrobacter sp. EST34TCBS. RNAcentral's name for it is "bacterial SSU rRNA". It matches the Rfam family "Bacterial small subunit ribosomal RNA", at positions 96 to 824 of the family's 1533-position model. The record is from RNAcentral. Lineage: Bacteria; Pseudomonadati; Pseudomonadota; Gammaproteobacteria; Moraxellales; Moraxellaceae.
CGGCGGACGGGCGAUUAAUACUUAGGAAUCUACCUAGUAGUGGGGGAUAGCACGGGGAAACUCGUAUUAAUACCGCAUACGACCUACGGGAGAAAGGGGGCAGUUUACUGCUCUCGCUAUUAGAUGAGCCUAAGUCGGAUUAGCUAGAUGGUGGGGUAAAGGCCUACCAUGGCGACGAUCUGUAGCUGGUCUGAGAGGAUGAUCAGCCACACCGGGACUGAGACACGGCCCGGACUCCUACGGGAGGCAGCAGUGGGGAAUAUUGGACAAUGGGGGAAACCCUGAUCCAGCCAUGCCGCGUGUGUGAAGAAGGCCUUUUGGUUGUAAAGCACUUUAAGCAGUGAAGAAGACUCCGCGGUUAAUACCCGGAGACGAUGACAUUAGCUGCAGAAUAAGCACCGGCUAACUCUGUGCCAGCAGCCGCGGUAAUACAGAGGGUGCAAGCGUUAAUCGGAAUUACUGGGCGUAAAGGGAGCGUAGGUGGCUCGAUAAGUCAGAUGUGAAAUCCCCGGGCUUAACCUGGGAACUGCAUCUGAAACUGUAGAGCUAGAGUAUGUGAGAGGGAAGUAGAAUUUCAGGUGUAGCGGUGAAAUGCGUAGAGAUCUGAAGGAAUACCGAUGGCGAAGGCAGCCUCCUGGCAUCAUACUGACACUGAGGCUCGAAAGCGUGGGUAGCAAACAGGAUUAGAUACCCUGGUAGUCCACGCCGUAAACGAUGUCUACUAGUCGUU